RNAcentral lists this long non-coding RNA (1872 nucleotides) under Amazona collaria (yellow-billed parrot). RNAcentral's name for it is "lncRNA (ENSACOG00000005131.1)". The record is from RNAcentral. Lineage: Eukaryota; Metazoa; Chordata; Aves; Psittaciformes; Psittacidae.
CGAGCCCCGAGCCCGCGGAAGCCCCGGCGCGUCCCUCCCGCAGCCAUGGCAGGGGUCGUGGUGAGCGGAGCCCAAGUGUCCUAUAUUAGUCAAGACUGUGAAGAAAUUCCAGAAUUCCUAGGAAGAAAAUAUGGACAUAUGGCAAAAAGGCUAGACCUUAGCUUCAACAUGUUAAGGUAUGUGGCAAUAUAUAGAUUUCCAAGUGCAGUAUGGGACACCAACUCCAAAUACAGAAUAUUUAUUUAUUUAUUUUAAAAUUCGAAGUAGAAGCAUACAUGUAUGUUUCAUACAUUUAGUAGUUGACAAGUGGGCACCCUUGUUUUAUAGGCAAUGUUUGUUUCAUUUUCUUGUGCAUUUGGAACACAGAUAACCAGGUGAGUCUGGAAUUUUCUCAUGUUAACAUAAAUGUCCAGCAAGGAGCCUAUGGUUUAUUGUCUGCUCAGAAUGGAAAAUAAGCAUCAUUACCUGAAGAAGUGAAGAAUGGGAUCAAAAGUGAAUUGUUCUUAACCAAAUACACGUAAGUGUGUGCUUCACUUUCUUCUUUUUACUUGUAGAUCUGUGGUUAUUAACAUAAAUAACCAGAGAUUUGUAAUACUCUUUUCUCAGAUGAUCUGUUUUUGUUAUUGUUGUGGUAUGAUUUUAUUUUUGUGUAGUUAAGUGCUAAAGCUAAGUGCAGUUAGAAUUUAUUUUCAUAAUUUUAAUAUAUGGACUAAGAAUGCUGUAGUAUUCCCAUUAGUUAUUACACUGUCCUUUUUCAUUUAGUCCUUGUGAAGAGAGAAGGUGCUAGUUUUUGGAAUAACUGCAGUCAACUUUUGAUGUAGGAUAGCUUGCUGUUUAAAAUACAUUCUAAGGCCAAAAAACAGAUUUGGGGAAAGGAGACAGUUUUGUUGUGUGUUUGUUUUUCUUUUUUAGCUUAGGGAAGCUAAUACUAAAUGUGAUGAGAGCAGUAAUAUUUUUUUUAUUUAAGCUGUGGUAGAUAUACUAAACAUAUAGAAACUGAGAAUGAAGUAUUUAUUAUACAGUAGCUGUUAAGACUGAUCUGCAGUUAUAUAUGAACACUGCAUGUUAUAUAGACAGAUCUAGAAUAAAUGUCAUAGCCUUAAAUGAAUAUGAAUAUAGAAGUGAUGUCUUGGGCAGCUGUUGAAACAAGUGUAAACAGUCAGAUCAUUGUAAUUUUCUUUAAGCAAACAUUAUUGCUUAAAAAAUCUGACAGUACUCUAGUACAGUGAUGAGGUUUAUGAUUUUCAUCAGUGAAUGUUUAAUUUUAAAAGUUUAGUAUGUUGUCUUCAGUGAGGGAACUUAAUGUCUAUGCUUAAAUGCCUACACUUUAUUGUCUUUAAAAAGGAGUUUGGUUUUCUAGAAAAACCUGGUAUGUGUUAGUAAAGACAUAAGUUGGGUGAAGAAGACCAAGGGUGAUCAAAAUAUAGAAAAAGAUAAAGAGAUAUUGUGUUUUGGUGGCAUAGUAGUUAUUUGCAGUAAACAUAUUAGUUUUCAUUAUAAUAUGAUUCAUUAUUUAAUGAGAGCUUGAGUUCUUUUAGAAGAAAAAAAAUAUCUCAGUGGUCAUAAUUUUUUAGCCUGUAUUUAAACCAAGAAAUGCUGAAGUACUCAACAGUUACCAGUUCUCAGUGUUAGGCAGUAAAUAGGUGCUUACCAACCUUUUUUUAAAGUUGCUUUGCAUAUAAUAGGGUUUCUGUGUCAUGUUCUCUGUAAGUAUGGCUACUGCUGAGUGUAUUCUGGGAGGGAAUUAUCCUUCCGUAGCAGGCAAUAAAUUCUGUUAUGUAAAAAUGCCAAUAGAAUUUUUGACCACACAACAAUUACGUUAAGAAUUUAAGAAAUUGAACAUAGAAGGAAGGUUGUUUUUUUUUGUGUUUU